UUAAACGGCCGCGGUAUUUUGACCGUGCAAAGGUAGCAUAAUCAGUUGUCUUAUAAUUGAAGACUGGAAUGAAUGGUUAAACGAAAUUAGAGCUGUUUCAUUUGUAUUUAUUAGAAAUUGGCUUUUAAAUGAAGAGAUUUAAAUUUGAUUGAGGGACAAGAAGACCCUAUUGAGCUUUAAAUAAUUUUAAGGGUUAAAGUUAUUGUAAAGAUCUAUGAUCUUUAGUAUUUUUUAGUUGGGGCGACUAAGGAACAGGUGAAGCUUCCUUUAUUUGUUUGAUUGAUAGAUUUUGAUCCUGUAUUACUGAUUAAGAGAAAUAGUUACCAUAGGGAUAACAGCAUAAUCUUCUUGGAGAGUUCUUAUUAAAAAGGGGGGUUGUGACCUCGAUGUUGGACUAAAAUAUCCUAAGGGUGUAGAAGCUUUUAAGGGUUGGUUAAACGGCCGCGGUAUUUUGACCGUGCAAAGGUAGCAUAAUCAGUUGUCUUAUAAUUGAAGACUGGAAUGAAUGGUUAAACGAAAUUAGAGCUGUUUCAUUUGUAUUUAUUAGAAAUUGGCUUUUAAAUGAAGAGAUUUAAAUUUGAUUAAGGGACAAGAAGACCCUAUUGAGCUUUAAAUAAUUUUAAGGGUUAAAGUUAUUAUAAAGAUCUAUGAUCUUUAGUAUUUUUUUAGUUGGGGCGACUAAGGAACAGGCGAAGCUUCCUUUAUUUAUUUAAUUGAUAGAUUUUGAUCCUGUAUUACUGAUUAAGAGACAUAGUUACCAUAGGGAUAACAGCAUAAUCUUCUUGGAGAGUUCUUAUUAAAAAGGGGGGUUGUGACCUCGAUGUUGGACUAAAAUAUCCUAAGGGUGUAGAAGCUUUUAAGGGUUGG
This 867-nucleotide ribosomal RNA is filed under the name Margarya melanioides. Its description in RNAcentral is "partial 16S ribosomal RNA". The stretch from base 587 to 867 matches the Rfam family "Bacterial large subunit ribosomal RNA", at positions 2078 to 2575 of the family's 2925-position model. Lineage: Eukaryota; Metazoa; Mollusca; Gastropoda; Architaenioglossa; Viviparidae. The record is from RNAcentral.